CUGAGUCAGGCACGGCAUGAGCUCUGCCUUUUGCCAUGCUGGUGUCUGGGGAGCUGAGCACUUUGUUCAUAGUGGAGGAUGGAUUGUGUGAGACCGGAAAAGAGAGAGAAGGUAACUCUUCAUGCUUCACGUGCUGGAAUGAGAGACCAAAGAAAGAGGAAAUGCAAAAGAAACAGUGGAGGACUUAAAUUUGCAGGAGGAAGGAAGCAUAAGGAGAAGAAGGAUCACCAUUCAUGUUGGCCUUGUCCAGAGGCAAACCCCAAGUGUUUUUACAUUCAGUGAAUUCUUACGUGGUUGGAGCUAUGUGCCUCAACUGUAGCUGAUAAAAUAAAUAAACUCUGUAUCUAACUUUUACCUUGCUA
RNAcentral lists this long non-coding RNA (362 nucleotides) under Numida meleagris (helmeted guineafowl). RNAcentral describes it as "lncRNA (ENSNMEG00000021345.1)". Lineage: Eukaryota; Metazoa; Chordata; Aves; Galliformes; Numididae. The record is from RNAcentral.